This 471-nucleotide ribosomal RNA is filed under the name uncultured bacterium. Its description in RNAcentral is "partial 16S ribosomal RNA". It matches the Rfam family "Bacterial small subunit ribosomal RNA", at positions 28 to 507 of the family's 1533-position model. The record is from RNAcentral.
GACGAACGCUGGCGGCGUGCUUAACACAUGCAAGUCGAACGAUGAAGCCUAGCUUGCUAGGUGGAUUAGUGGCGAACGGGUGAGUAAUACGUGAGUAACCUACCUUUAACUCUGGGAUAAGCCCGGGAAACUGGGUCUAAUACCGGAUACGACCAAUCUCCGCAUGGGGUGUUGGUGGAAAGCGUUAUGUAGUGGUUAUAGAUGGGCUCACGGCCUAUCAGCUUGUUGGUGAGGUAACGGCUCACCAAGGCGACAACGGGUAGCCGGCCUGAGAGGGUGACCGGCCACACUGGGACUGAGACACGGCCCAGACUCCUACGGGAGGCAGCAGUGGGGAAUAUUGCACAAUGGGCGCAAGCCUGAUGCAGCGACGCCGCGUGAGGGAUGACGGCCUUCGGGUUGUAAACCUCUGUUAGCAGGGAAGAAGAGAGAUUGACGGUACCUGCAGAGAAAGCGCCGGCUAACUACGUG